AUGAGGCCAUCGCAAGCUCUCUCGCUUCUUGUUGUUGUCCUCCUCCGUGCCUCAUCCAGUGCUUCCAUCCUAGAAGACACGUGCAGGCGCUUCGACGGUGCUGACAUCUAUGAUAUCUGCAUCAAGUUCUUCAAGGCCAACAAGGACAGCGCCACCACGGACAAGCGUGGCCUUGCUGUCAUCGCCACUGGGAUUGCCAGUGUGACAGCUGUGGACACCCGCAAGCGCAUCGCCACCCUGAAGGCCGAGAAAAAGGACCAGAUGAUCCAGCAGGUCCUCGCGUACUGUGACAAUGUGUACUCCAGAGCUGUGGGCCUAUUUGAUAAGGCUGCCAGGGGCAUAUCGUCGGGCAGAUUGGGUGACGCGGUGACGAGCCUUAGCUCCGCGCUGGACAUUCCCAAAUAUUGCGAUGAUGAGUUCCUCGAGGCAGGUGUGAAGUCGCCGUUUGAUGCCGAGAAUGGCGAGUUCGAGAUGCAAUGUGCCAUCACUCUGGGUGUAACGAAGUUGCUAACCAUGUAG
This 519-nucleotide ribosomal RNA is filed under the name Triticum aestivum (bread wheat). RNAcentral's name for it is "partial small subunit ribosomal RNA". The record is from RNAcentral. Lineage: Eukaryota; Viridiplantae; Streptophyta; Magnoliopsida; Poales; Poaceae.